CUACGGGAGGCACCAGUGGGGAAUUUUGCGCAAUGGGGGAAACCCUGACGCAGCAAUACCGCGUGAGUGAAGAAGGCCUUCGGGUCGUAAAGCUCUUUUCUUGGGGAAGAUAGUGACGGUACCCAAGGAAUAAGCACCGGCUAACUCCGUGCCAGCAGCCGCGGUAAUACGGAGGGUGCAAGCGUUGUUCGGAUUUACUGGGCGUAAAGGGCACGUAGGCGGCACAGCAAGUUAAGGGUGAAAUCCCGGGGCUCAACUCCGGAACUGCUCUUAAAACUGCUGAGCUAGAGAUAGUCAGAGGCGGGUGGAAUUCCAGGUGUAGAGGUGAAAUUCGUAGAUAUCUGGAGGAACACCGGUGGCGAAGGCGGCCCGCUGGGGCUAUUCUGACGCUAAGGUGCGAAAGCGUGGGGAGCAAACGGGAUUAGAUACCCUGGUAGUC
RNAcentral lists this ribosomal RNA (439 nucleotides) under uncultured bacterium. RNAcentral describes it as "partial 16S ribosomal RNA". It matches the Rfam family "Bacterial small subunit ribosomal RNA", at positions 339 to 795 of the family's 1533-position model. The record is from RNAcentral.